CUCUUUAAAUUUUAAAAAACACCAAGUCUCUAUUUAAAAAAGCUUAUAAUUUCUGCAAAAUCUUGUCGGAUUGUUGGCACUAACCACAACUCAAUUAAAACGUAACACUUUCCACGAAUCUCAAUUGUGAUUUGGUUUAACCAGCCUCACGUUACUCCGAAUAUAACUCGACCCAAUAUAGCCUUCUGCCACACAUCAAAAUGCUAGGGCGCAAAUUCAUAGCAUGCGAAAAUUAAAUCCGCGAUCUCUAAUUCUGAUACUACUUAUAAAAUUAUUGGCGCUAAUUAUUAACCCCAAAAGCUCAAACUAUUAGAAAUAUACUACCAACUUAGUUAAAACGUAUAGAUGCAACGCCCAUGAGUCUCUAUUAUGACUUGAUUCAAAUAAUCUCACAUUAUUUUGAAUAUGACUCGGCCCAUUCUAGCCCACGUCAUUUUGAACUUAACUCUGCUAAUCUGACUUUCCGCCGUAAGUCAGAAUGUUGGCUCCUUUAAGACGACACACCUUAUCUAAAAAAUUAUAGAAUUUACUAACCUAUUUUAAAUUUUAGAUAAAAAGAAUAAUACCACAAGUAAAAUAUAGAAGGCUUUUAGCAAACUACAUUAGAUAGUGUCAGUUUAUUUUUAACUAUUUGAGAGUUUUCUUGAAUGAUCGUUACGUGAUUUGAAUAGUGUGACUAGCGUAAGUAUGGGAUCAAUCAAUUGGAUAAAAUUGUAUUUUACGGCAUAAUUUUUAAUAUACAUUUGUAUGCAUAAAUCAGUGUCGGUGCUACUACUUUUUUGCCGCAGUGCUGAGCUGUACGCUUGUACCUAUGUUCCGAAUAGUCAACAGCUGUUGACUUUUAUUAUGUGAAUCUGGAGAUUAGAUCUAUCAAUUUUUUAUUAAAUCAUUGUUCCGUUGGGUAGCGUUUGAUUCGAGAAUAAGGAGAAAAUAAGCCCUCAUUCCCCCUUUGUUCCCAAACGUGAUAUUUGGUAUUCAGGAACAGCAGUUCCGGAAAUUUCAAGAACAAUAGUUCCAGAGUUUCAAGAACCCUUUUUCUAAAAUAAGCUUGUUCCUUAAUGAGAACAAAAUUAAUUAAAAUCUAAAUUUAAUUUUAAUUAACCAGUAAAUUAUUAAUUAAUCUAAUUAAUAUAUUUAAAUUAAUAUUUAUUAUUUUAAUAAUUUAUUAAUUUAUUAAUUUAUUAUUUAUAAUUAAUUAAUAAUAAUUAGAUAAUUAUUAUAAUUAAUUUAUUAUUAUUUAUAAUUAUUUAUUAAUAAUUAAUAAUAUUUAUUGUUAUUUAUUAAUAAUUAUUAAUAAUUAUUAUCCUUAAUAAUUAGAUAAUCGAAAGUAUUAUUAAUUUAUUAUUUAUAAUUAAUUAUUAAUAAUUAGGUAAUUAUUAUUAUUAAUUUAUUACUAGUAAUUAAUUAUUAAUAAUUAUUAUUUACUAAUAAAUAUUAAUUAUUAUUAUUAUUUAUUAAUAAAUAUUAAUAAUUAUUAUUAUUAAUAAUUAGAUAAUCGAUAUUAUUAUUAAUAAAAAUUAGAUAAUCGAUAUUAUUAUUAAUUUAUUAUUAAUAAUUAAUUAAUAAUAAUAAUUAAUAAUUAUUAUUAUUUUAUUAAUAAUUAUCAAUUAUUAUUAUUAUUAAUUAGAUAUUCAAUAUUAUUAAUUUAUUAUUUAUUAAUUAAUUAUUAAUAAUUAUUAAUACUUAUUAUUAUUUAUAAUUAAUUUAUUAAUAAUUAAUUUAUUAUUUAUUUUUAAGUAAUAUUUUGAUGUUAAUUAAUUACAUAAUAUAAUUUUAAUUUUAAAUUAUAACUCUUAUUCCUCUUAUUACAAUUUAACCAUCCAAAUACUAUUUACCUUAUUACUAGAAACAACCCAAUUUUCAUCUAAACGCAAAAUUGGUCUAGUUCCUGCUUAUAUCUGAACUUGUACCUAUCCCUGAAACUAGCAGUUCUUACUUAUACCCGAACCAAACGCAGCCGAAAUUCGAGUUUGGUUCGGAAACGAGAGGAAUAAAUUCUUGUUCCCUCUUUAUUUCCGCAUGUAAUUUUUAGCAUUGAAAAAUAAUAGUUCUCAUAUUUCUAAAAUAAAUUGGUAUAAUUCGGUAUAAAUUUGAAAUUGUUGUUCCAUCCUUUUUUCUAAAACAAACAUAUUUCCAAAUGAAAAUAAGAUCAAUUAAAAUUAAAUUUUAAUUUUAAUUAUAAUAUUAAAUUAUUAUUUAAUCUAAUUAAUAUAUUUAAAUCAUUAUCCAAUUGCUUUAAAUAAUAAAACAAUUAAUUAAUUUAUUAUUUCUAAAUAAUUAGCUAAUUAAUUAUUAAUAAUUUAAUAUGUAAAUUAAUAUUUAUAUUGAUCAGCCAUUAAUUUUUUUAUUAUCUAAUUAAUUUUUUUACGAGUUAUCAAAUUAAUAUAAUUUACUAACUAAUUAAAAAGUUAAAUUAUUUUUAUAUUAAAUUAAUUAAUUAAUAUAUUUUUAUUAUUUUAUACAAUAUUCAUACUUUCAUUCGUUAGUUUAUUCAAUUAUUCCAAUCUAACCAUCNUUUCGAACCAAACGGAAGCUAAAGAAUAAAAAUUAAUAAUAAUAGCAAACUAGGCUUAAGCAAUUAAUUUUUAUAAUUCAAAAUAUAACUAUAUUGUACGGACACGAGGGUAGGGGGCAGAGUUAUUAUUAUGCGGACGGUGCGAUGGACGGGGAAAUGGGAACCGGAUUGUAUGGGGACUUUUUUUUUUUUUUAUUGAGAUAGUAUGGGGUCAAGCGUGGUGGAGACCAUAGUUAGUUAGUGGAGAGUCUGGAGACUUCGAGUGGGUGGGGCCCGAGGUUGCCCUGUUAAAUUGAUAAUUAAUUACAGAUUGGUCCUUAAAUUUCUCAGAAAUUUUAAUUCAGAUCUUUUUUAUUAUAAUCAUAUUACAAAUAUUUAUUAUGAAUUUCAAUGGAAUCACUUUUGACAAAAAGUUAUUAUCACUUGGCAAAAUCUGGCGCUUCCGCGGCAUUAAUUUGAUAAAUUUGAUAAAUAUUGGUUAAUGCUAACGGAGUAGUUUGGCUAAAUUACAAAAAAUUUUCUGUCAAUACCAGCUUUUUUAUUUUUUUGUCAUUUAAAAAUCUACAAUUUACUCUGUUAUAAAAUUAAAAUAUUUAUAUAAGAAUAUACUGUGACAAAAUAAUUAAAUUGUCCUCAACUUCUUCGGGUUGGGUGUGGACAGAGGGUGGACGAGGGCGAGAGUGGGGCGACGGAGGUGAGCGAGGACGUGUGUGUGGACAUGGACAGAGAGGUGGGUGAGGGCCAGGCGGCGAAGGGCGAGGUGGUGCGAUCGAGAUCGGUGAGGAAGGAUGAGGAUUUUAAGGAUAUUUUGGGUAUAAAAAAUGUGAUAUAAACAGAAUCCAAACGGUACUCUAACUGAACACUUACGGCGGGUCAAAGUGAACAUUUUUUAUUUUAUAAAGAAAUAAAAUGUAGGUUGAGAAGUUUCUGUAAUUUAGCCUAGUAGUUUUUGUUAAAAUAAAUAUUUUUGAAUACUAAAAAUUAUGAAUAUGAUCUGAAAAAGUUGGCAAUGGAAAAUAAAAUGAUAAUAAAGUUGUGGUACAAAAACUCUUAAAUUUUAAAAAACACCAAGUCUAUAUUUAAAAAAGCUUAUAAUUUUUGCAAAAUCUUGUCGGAUCUUUGGCACUAACCACAACUCAAUUAAAACGUAACACCUUCCACGUAUCUCAAUUGUGAUUUGGUUCAACCAGCCUCACGUUACUUCGAAUAUAACUCGACCCAAUAUAGCCUCCUGCCACACAUCAAAAUGCUAGGGCGCAAAUUCACAGCAUGCGAAAAUUAAAUCCGUGAUCUCUAAUUCUAAUACUACUUAUAAAAUUAUUUGUGCUAAUUAUUAACCCCAAAAGCUCAAACUAUUAGAAAUAUACGACCAACUUAGUUAAAGCGUACAGAUACAACAUCCGUGAGUCUCUAUUAUGACUUGGUUUAAACAAUCUCACAUUAUUUCGAAUAUGACUCAGCCCAUUCUAGCCCACGCCAUUUUGAACGUAACUUUGCUAACCUGACUUUCCGCGCACAGGUCAGAAUGCUGGCUCCUUUCAAACGACACACCUUAUCUAAAAAAUUAUAGAAUUUACUAACCUAUUUUAAAUUUUA
This 4111-nucleotide long non-coding RNA is filed under the name Ananas comosus (pineapple). RNAcentral's name for it is "long non-coding RNA (ACOM_LNC002927)". The record is from RNAcentral. Lineage: Eukaryota; Viridiplantae; Streptophyta; Magnoliopsida; Poales; Bromeliaceae.